CUGUGUGGGUUUUCUCCGGGUGCUCCGGUUUCCUCCCACAUUCCAAAAACAUGCAUGGCAGGCUGAUUGGACGCUCUAAAUUGUCCCUAAGUGUGAGUGUGAGCGUGGAUGGUUGUUCGUCUCUGUGUGCCCUGCGAUUGGCUAGCAACUGAUUCAGGGUGUCCCCCGCCUACUGCCCGAAGACGGCUGGGAUAGGCUCCAGCACCCCCCGCGAGUGAGGAUCAAGCGGUUCGGAAAAUGGAUGGAUGGAUGGAUAUAUAUAUGAGGCCUUCCAACCCAGAGGAGUCGUAGCAGUGUCUCCUGUUCUCAGUCCCCCCUCCCCCCCUCUGCUGCAACACUCUUCAGAAGAUACCUCUGCUUUUUUCCCCCUCAUUAUCCAUGCCAGAUGCUUCCGACUAGCUCCCCAAUCAUGAGUUGGGAGGCCUCACAGUCAGGCAGGAGGUGGGAAAGUCCAGGGUCUAUUGGAACAAAAACUGAGACACCAGUAUGCACGCAUGUGCUGAUCUAUCGGCUCAGCAAAGUUUGGAUUACUUCUAAAGCACCGAGCAGAGGAGCAGACACACACCAAGUAGUGAGAGAGACAGAUGAAAUUUCAAACAGUGUCUGUGCUAUGUUUGUCGAGGACCAUCUGUUUCUUCCUGUCUUGCUGCUUGAUUUCUGUGUACACUAUCUCACUUGUUCACCGCUGGUCCAAACACAGACGGUGCUGUUUCCUUUUCAAUCUAAGAAAAGAACACAAUGGCGUUCAGACAGGAUGCAGUGAAGAACUCCUGAAAUUUCUUCAUCUGUAACAGCUACGGUGGUGGUUUCACAAUUCUGAUUUUAUUUGGCAAAGGUGGCACAUGAUGACAACACUCAUCUUGUCAUUUUGUUGGUGACUUCGGAUUUGAAGGAUUUGAACAUUUUUAUCAUCUUGAAUACAGACACUCAAUAAAGCAAAUAUGUCAUGCCAAAGCUUUGCGGUGACAAAUUUCAAGUUCAACCUUACAAACAUUCAGACACUCCUUGCCAUGUUGCAGUCUUAAGAAAAAAGGAAGAAUAGAGAAAUUCACAUUUCUUCUCUGCUUCAAGUGUCAAACUUAGAUGAGCAUCUGGAUUUAGUCUGGUCUUUAAACUACUCCUGAACUCUCCAUCUGACCUUUGGUUACGACCUUUGCUCAUCUCAAAUUGUUAUAUCAGUCAGAGGUUAAAAUACAUGAAAGAACACAUGCUGGACAUGUCACAUUGAUGUAUGCCCCUUUGCCAUUGCGGACACACACACACACACGCACACACACAUUUGCACCCACACACAUUUACUUCAUUUCACAACAAUUUAACAAACAUUCUUCCAGAAAUUUGCACCACUGGUGGAGUCCAUGUCUUAAAACCUCCAAUCAUUGCUCUUUGUGCCUUGGGCAUGUGAACUUUGGAUCACACAAUGCCAAUACUCGUUUAUUUUUCAUACAAAAGAGUGAGUUACUUGCUUUGUUUCACCACGUGUGAUAGGAACAGACAUAAAAGACUUUCAGAUGAUUGGCAUCUUCUCAUCUGGCGGAUCAGCGUUUCUCAAGCUUUACUGAGCCAAAGCAGAUACUGUAUUAGAAACAUCUCACCACACACCACCAAACAGAAACGGAGGAGAAACUGCAGUGAUACAGGCCAGAAUCUCAUAUAAGAUUGACCGUAUGGCGAAGAGUCAUGGUGGUCACACGCAGCUCCGGGAAAAGGCGAGGCAGAGGUGACCUGAUGUAUUCAGGGUUGGGCUUUUCAAAAACAUUACAACACAGCUGUCAUCCUUCAUCAGCUAACACAUAAUCAUGUUUAUGGUGAGUAAGGUUAGGUUUGGUAAAAUUGUUUGUUGAGUAUGACUCACAAGAUUGUCAUUAGAGGCUGAUUAUGAUGUUACUGAUGAGACAUUUCCUAGUAGGGCUGAAUCCAUUAUCUUCCAUCAAUUUGUAAGAUGUGUAUUUCAUGGUGGCACACUGAAAAUACAGUACCGCAUGUCUAUAUCAUUAACCUCACAUCAUGAACAUUAGUGAGUGUAUCACGCCAGUCUACAGGUGGAAAACGUACGCAGGCAAGCACGCACAUACACACACCCAGGUACAGUCACUUACAUAACUCUGAAGUCGCAUUUCUAAAUUUUUUUCUGAUUUUUUGUCCCAAAACCAGUUAUCAUCCAAUCAGUACUUUGUAGUUGGCGGAGUGUAAUUUGCACAAAAAAUGCUGAUGGAAAUUAUGAACAAUACAAUUUAAUGCAAAUUGAGUUAUUGUUUAAGCAUUUGUGUGUUUGCUAUUUUGACCUCAGGAAAUAUCUGACCAUUUCAUGCAUUUAAAUGAAUAAACAAAGAAAUUUGAAAAAGCCAUUCAGUACAAUGUGCUGACACAGCAACAAAGUACAGCAAUAAUAAAAAACUAUUCUUACAUUAAUAUUAAUAAUUUGUAUUUAUAUUGCACUUAAUUGAACGGUGUUUGUUUUUUCUUCUUUCUUCUUUCUACCUACAUUCUUGCUGCUGGAGGCUGUAAAUUUCCCCAGUGUGGGACAAAUAAAGGAUAUCUUAA
This is a long non-coding RNA of Hippocampus zosterae (dwarf seahorse), 2544 nucleotides long. RefSeq lists it as uncharacterized. The transcript is spliced from 3 exons. The record is from RefSeq and is a predicted model, not a curated record. NCBI's taxonomy places the organism in Eukaryota, Metazoa, Chordata, Actinopteri, Syngnathiformes, Syngnathidae.